GACGAACGCUGGCGGCGUGCUUAACACAUGCAAGUCGAACGGAAAGGCCCUGCUUUUGUGGGGUGCUCGAGUGGCGAACGGGUGAGUAACACGUGAGUAACCUGCCCUUGACUUUGGGAUAACUUCAGGAAACUGGGGCUAAUACCGGAUAGGAGCUCCUGCUGCAUGUUGGGGGUUGGAAAGUUUCGGCGGUUGGGGAUGGACUCGCGGGUUAUCAGCUUGUUGGUGGGGUAGUGGCUUACCAAGGCUUUGACGGGUAGCCGGCCUGAGAGGGUGACCGGCCACAUUGGGACUGAGAUACGGCCCAGAAUCCUACGGGAGGCAGCAGUGGGGAAUAUUGCACAAUGGGCGGAAGCCUGAUGCAGCAACGCCGCGUGCGGGAUGACGGCCUUCGGGUUGUAAACCGCUUUCGCCUGUGACGAAGCGUGAGUGACGGUAAUGGGUAAAGAAGCACCGGCUAACUACGUG
Molecule: ribosomal RNA, 468 nt
Filed under: uncultured bacterium
Lineage: Bacteria
Description: partial 16S ribosomal RNA
Rfam family: Bacterial small subunit ribosomal RNA
Source: RNAcentral